AUGUGACAGAUUAAUGUAUUAAAUUUAAGAUUUGACAAUGAAUCUAUUCCUUUAGAA
This 57-nucleotide transfer RNA is filed under the name Rhodochlanis suaedicola. Its description in RNAcentral is "tRNA-Leu". The record is from RNAcentral. Lineage: Eukaryota; Metazoa; Arthropoda; Insecta; Hemiptera; Aphalaridae.